RNAcentral lists this ribosomal RNA (416 nucleotides) under Flagellimonas lutimaris. RNAcentral describes it as "bacterial SSU rRNA". It matches the Rfam family "Bacterial small subunit ribosomal RNA", at positions 383 to 796 of the family's 1533-position model. Lineage: Bacteria; Pseudomonadati; Bacteroidota; Flavobacteriia; Flavobacteriales; Flavobacteriaceae. The record is from RNAcentral.
CUGAUCAGCCAUGCCGCGUGCAGGAUGACGGCCCUAUGGGUUGUAAACUGCUUUUAUACGGGAAGAAACGCGCCCACGUGUGGGCGUUUGACGGUACCGUAAGAAUAAGGACCGGCUAACUCCGUGCCAGCAGCCGCGGUAAUACGGAGGGUCCGAGCGUUAUCCGGAAUCAUUGGGUUUAAAGGGUCCGUAGGCGGGCCUGUAAGUCAGGGGUGAAAGUUUGUGGCUCAACCAUAAAAUUGCCUUUGAUACUGCAGGUCUUGAGUCAUGGUGGGGUUGCCGGAACAUGUGGUGUAGCGGUGAAAUGCAUAGAUAUCACAUAGAACACCGAUCGCGAAGGCAGGUGACCAACCAUGUACUGACGCUGAUGGACGAAAGCGUGGGUAGCGAACGGGAUUAGAUACCCCCGGUAGUCA